GUGCGGUGACCGGCCGUGCGGGAGCUGUGACGGUGCCUUCCCCGGCGGGGGACGGUGCGGUGACCGGCCGUGCGGGAGCUGUGACGGUGCCUUCCCCGGCGGGGGACGGUGCGGUGACCGGCCGUGCGGGAGCUGUGACGGUGCCUUCCCCGGCGGGGGACGGUGCGUCAAGGCUGUGCUGGCAACCAGCGCCCCAGAAGCACAGCCAGAUGAGUCCGGAGCUUCAGAGAGAAGAUUAACUGACGGCUUCUUCCGGCAGCCGCUUCCAGAGAUUCUCAUCGCCCAUAGGGUUCUCUCCAGUAGUUCUUAUUUUUGGAGGGGAGAAACCCAGUGGUCUCUGCACUAGCGAUGGGUACAGUUAAGUUUUUGGUGCCUCGGAGGCACCUGACACCGGCCGGGCUGAUGUGUUUCAUCUGGCAGCUCUCGCACUCAAUCCCGCCACACCCAGGGCUCAGGAGGGCUGGCGAAAUGCAGGGGCCUCGCUCUGAAAUGGGAGGGCAGGCUGCUCACCUGCUAGGCCUUGCCUCUGCAUGCCGCUUCUUGAGCCACUAGGCAUCCAUUCUCUCAGACUCAGGGCCAAGGCCAACAGGAAGGGAGCUUCCCCAAGCCGAGCCUUUGGAGAACGUUUGCCUGCCAGGGGCUCACGACAGCGAGGGUGUAUCUGCCACUCUCUCUCUCAUGUCCAGCUUUGAACCUUGUCAGAUGGCCGUAUCCUCUGUGCUACAGUUCCACCUAAUGCCAGAUAGUAGGCGAGCCCUCUCUUAUCGGGAGAGCAGCACUGGCGUGGAGGUAGAGGCGCCUCCUUCGGAGGUCUGUAUUGAACCUCUGGAGGCGGCCGGUACCUAAGUGCAGGCCUCUCUUCUUGUUACUGCCACCUCCUUGCUCAUCUGGCCCAUCUGGCAAAGAGAUUCUGCGGGAGGUCAUCCCUGAUGGAAGUGCCCAUCCGUCAUCUCCCUGGGAGAUAGGCACCCCUGCCCACUGCGGCAAACCCCUACUUCUGGCUCCUCCUUGGGAACCCCUUUGUUAUUCAUGAGGAUUAAAAAUAGACAGUGUGAAAAGUAAAA
Nomascus leucogenys (northern white-cheeked gibbon) is the source of this 1064-nucleotide long non-coding RNA. RefSeq lists it as uncharacterized. The record is from RefSeq and is a predicted model, not a curated record. NCBI's taxonomy places the organism in Eukaryota, Metazoa, Chordata, Mammalia, Primates, Hylobatidae. The transcript has 2 exons.